AAACCAACAGGGAUUGCCCUAGUAACGGCGAGUGAAGCGGCAACAGCUCAAAUUUGAAAUCUGGUCCCUCGGGGCCCGAGUUGUAAUUUGCAGAGGAUGCUUUUGGCGCGGUGCCUUCCGAGUGCCCUGGAACGGGACGCCACAGAGGGUGAGAGCCCCGUAUGGUUGGAUACCAAGCCUAUGUAAAGCUCCUUCGACGAGUCGAGUAGUUUGGGAAUGCUGCUCAAAAUGGGAGGUAAACCCCUUCUAAAGCUAAAUACUGGCCAGAGACCGAUAGCGCACAAGUAGAGUGAUCGAAAGAUGAAAAGCACUUUGAAAAGAGAGUUAAAAAGCACGUGAAAUUGUUGAAAGGGAAGCGUUUGCGACCAGACUUGCGCCCGUCGAAUCAACCGUCCCUCGUGGGCGGUGCACUUUGGCGGGCUCAGGCCAGCAUCAGUUUACUGCAGGGGGAGAAAGGCGCCGGGAAUGUGGCUCUUCGGAGUGUUAUAGCCCGGCGCGUAAUACCCCUCGGUGGACUGAGGACCGCGCGUAUGCAAGGAUGCUGGCGUAAUGGUCGUCAGCGAC
RNAcentral lists this ribosomal RNA (564 nucleotides) under Basipetospora chlamydospora. Its description in RNAcentral is "LSU rRNA". It matches the Rfam family "Eukaryotic large subunit ribosomal RNA", at positions 62 to 648 of the family's 3401-position model. The record is from RNAcentral. Lineage: Eukaryota; Fungi; Ascomycota; Sordariomycetes; Microascales.